UGGAUAACCAACCUUUAGGUCAGUUGAUAUCAAGACAUUCAAGUUUAUUGAUGGAACGGAAUUCUUCCAACUCCUCCUCCAGGAAAUGCAGAAAUAGAAGAACGUUUUGUCCAUGAUAACAACGAUCCUGUUAGAGUUUCUUUCUCUCUUCUUGAUGUAUUACUUCUAGAUUUGUAAGUUGUGCCAGGAUGAAACAAUUUUCUGAGGUUGCUGUAUUAUACAUUGUUAAGACAUUAAUUAGUUUCCAAUUGUUUAAAUACUUCUGCUCUUUUCAUAUUCAGACUUGAGCUUUCUUGGAACUAAGCUUGUAUUUUAUGCUGGGAUGGUUCUUCCUGUUCAAUACACAAUUUGUUAACUUCCUGUGCCA
This is a long non-coding RNA of Ipomoea triloba (trilobed morning glory), 367 nucleotides long. RefSeq lists it as uncharacterized. NCBI's taxonomy places the organism in Eukaryota, Viridiplantae, Streptophyta, Magnoliopsida, Solanales, Convolvulaceae. The transcript is spliced from 2 exons. The record is from RefSeq and is a predicted model, not a curated record.